UACGAAGGGGGCUAGCGUUGCUCGGAAUCACUGGGCGUAAAGGGUGCGUAGGCGGGUCUUUAAGUCAGGGGUGAAAUCCUGGAGCUCAACUCCAGAACUGCCUUUGAUACUGAGGAUCUUGAGCAUGGGAGAGGUGAGUGGAACUGCGAGUGUAGAGGUGAAAUUCGUAGAUAUUCGCAAGAACACCAGUGGCGAAGGCGGCUCACUGGCCCAUUACUGACGCUGAGGCACGAAAGCGUGGGGAGCAAACAGG
Molecule: ribosomal RNA, 253 nt
Filed under: uncultured bacterium
Lineage: Bacteria
Description: partial 16S ribosomal RNA
Rfam family: Bacterial small subunit ribosomal RNA
Source: RNAcentral